Molecule: non-coding RNA, 1738 nt
Organism: Arachis ipaensis
Lineage: Eukaryota; Viridiplantae; Streptophyta; Magnoliopsida; Fabales; Fabaceae
Source: RefSeq, a predicted model, not a curated record
CCUAGUUUUAGAACCUGUAACACUAUGCAUAUGGCGGCCUCUUCCUUCUCUCUUUCGUACUCCUCUCCGUCGAAUCCCAUUUUAAUCAUUUCAGAAUCCAUUUUUGUCUAUGUUGCUUUGUCCACUACACUUUUACCCUCCAUCGCUGCUGCAUCUUCAACAGAAUCGAAGAUUCCAAGCCACACACACGCCUUCUUCCUCACGCCAUGGAACCGCAUUUCGCCGACGUUGUUUCCCUAUUGUCGAUGCCCCUAGCCUGUGCGACGAUCUCCGAUCCUCUUGUUCUCUAACGACACUCUUCUCCAGUGACAUCUCCUAUGGUGACGUCUCCUCCAACUUCCUCUCCUUGCCGUCCUAGAUCUGUGUCUUUUCCGCCAUCAGCAUUUCCCUUUCGUUCUGAAUAUGGAAGAUAUUUUGGAAUUAAAGAUAUCUAUAGCAGAAAAUAAAGACAUGUAUGAAUUACAGCAUGAGAGUAAGUAAUGGAACGAAGACGUUGCAGCUUCUCGUGUAGUAGUGCUGCUCUCUUUUGCUCUCUAGAAACCAUGGGAAGAAACUAUCAAAGUUUCUGCUGUGGUCUGAGCGAUUGCCAUUCUCAACCUCAAUGCUGUCCAAGGAGGGUAGAAUAUGCUAUCCAAGUUGGUGCCACAAGAAGAACAAGUCAGAGGCUAGUGUGUUAGUUCAGCAUGUAGCAAUUGUCUGGUUUCCAUGUUGAGAAUAGACUCAAGGAAGAGGUUCUGAAGUGGAAAGAUGCAGAAAUCGGAGAGCCAAAAGAAGGCGAGGUGCGCACGAGGAACAAAGCCAUUGGCCUUAAUUUUAUCAAUGUCUACUUUCAGAAAGUUUAUAAAGCCCUCUCAUUGCCUUUCACCCCAGUUGUAGUGAUCCUAUUUCUAUGGUUAGAGCCAAGGGAAUUGGAGUUCUUGGGCUUGACCGAUAGUGAGCAGAAUGUCAUGAAUGGGAUAAGUUUUCUUCUCUCUUUUACCUGAUUAUGAAUCAAAGCUUUGUAGUUCUAAUUGCAUGUAAUAUAGCUACUUAGAAGGGAUAAUAGUUGGAUUAAUUUCUGCUUUGUAGAGGUCCAAAGUUAAUUUGCUUAUCACAUACUAUUGCAUGCAAGGGAUGACAGGCUAUGAGCUACUUAAGAAAAUCAAGCUAUCUUCUUUUCAGGAGGAGGGGAAAGCACCGUAUUUAUAUGUGGAAGUGGAUUUUAAGGAGGUAACUAGCAAAAAGACAGCACUUAUUGAGACUUCCAAUCAAUUGAGGAACAAAGUUGGAGAAGCAGCAGUGAUAUUAAGAGCCGGUUUGAUAGAAAUUCUCUGAGAGGAGAGGUUCCUACAAACCUUUGUAAGAGAUGAGUUUGGAUAAUGAAGUUGGAGUGUUGGAGCAAGAAACAAAGAUGUUGGAGCAAGUUUCCGGGAUGAAACUCACAUAAGAGACCAAGAAACUAAGGCAGGGUUGUUCUAAGUUAAUUACAAAAGGAGAAAACUUUUGGCUUCCAAAUCUUAUUCAUCAUCACUUAGCUAAGCUACUUGUCUUGUAUAUUCAUAUUGUAAGUAGUAAAAACAACACUCAUUAGAUAGUUUAAAUACAUUAUUAGAUAUUAACAUAGUUUAGGAAACUGGAUGGUAGAUUUGACUGAUUAGUGUUUAUUGCAAUGCUUGUAUUUUGGUAAGUUUAGUAAGACAAGGUUUUGUAUAGGAGUAAUUACUUUUGAUUUUCAAUAAUAAAAAAAUUAUAUAUUAUA